ACCCUUGACAUGUCUGGAAUCCUGAAGAGAUUUGGGAGUGCUCGCAAGAGAACCGGAACACAGGUGCUGCAUGGCUGUCGUCAGCUCGUGUCGUGAGAUGUUGGGUUAAGUCCCGCAACGAGCGCAACCCUUGUCAUUAGUUGCUACGAAAGGGCACUCUAAUGAGACUGCCGGUGACAAACCGGAGGAAGGUGGGGAUGACGUCAAGUCCUCAUGGCCCUUAUGGGUAGGGCUUCACACGUCAUACAAUGGUCGGGACAGAGGGUCGCCAACCCGCGAGGGGGAGCCAAUCCCAGAAACCCGAUCGUAGUCCGGAUUGCAGUCUGCAACUCGACUGCAUGAAGUCGGAAUCGCUAGUAAUCGCGGAUCAGCAUGUCGCGGUGAAUACGUUCCCGGGUCUUGUACACACCGCCCGUCACACCAUGGGAGUGGGUUUUACCAGAAGUAGUUAGCCUAACCGCAAGGGGGGCGAUUACCACGGUAGGAUUCAUGACUGGGGUGAAGUCGUAACAAGGUAGGCGUAGUGCU
This 528-nucleotide ribosomal RNA is filed under the name uncultured bacterium. RNAcentral describes it as "bacterial SSU rRNA". It matches the Rfam family "Bacterial small subunit ribosomal RNA", at positions 977 to 1509 of the family's 1533-position model. The record is from RNAcentral.